GUCGAGAAUCUUCGGCAAUGGGCGAAAGCCUGACCGAGCGACGCCGCGUGUGCGAUGAAGGCCUUCGGGUUGUAAAGCACUGUCGAGGGGGAGGAAGCCGCAAGGUUGACCUAUCCCUGGAGGAAGCACGGGCUAAGUUCGUGCCAGCAGCCGCGGUAAGACGAACCGUGCGAACGUUGUUCGGAAUCACUGGGCUUAAAGGGCGCGUAGGCGGGCCAUCAAGUCGGGGGUGAAAUACUUCAGCUUAACUGGAGAACAGCCUUCGAUACUGGUGGUCUAGAGGGAGGUAGGGGUCUGCGGAACUUCCGGUGGAGCGGUGAAAUGCGUUGAUAUCGGAAGGAACGCCGGUGGCGAAAGCGGCGGACUGGACCUCUUCUGACGCUGAGGCGCGAAAGCUAGGGGAGCAAACGGGAUUAGAAACCCGGGUAGUCC
Molecule: ribosomal RNA, 432 nt
Filed under: uncultured bacterium
Lineage: Bacteria
Description: bacterial SSU rRNA
Rfam family: Bacterial small subunit ribosomal RNA
Source: RNAcentral